RNAcentral lists this long non-coding RNA (213 nucleotides) under Phaseolus vulgaris (common bean). RNAcentral's name for it is "long non-coding RNA (PVUL_LNC003544)". The record is from RNAcentral. Lineage: Eukaryota; Viridiplantae; Streptophyta; Magnoliopsida; Fabales; Fabaceae.
CGCGAACAAUUGAUACCCCUUAUUUGCUGGUUUUUCGAACGGUACAUAUGUGUCGCUUAUUCUGCUUAAACUCAAACCAGAUUGAAAUUGGAUGUGCGUAUGUUUGUUCUUCAUUUCGACUGAAUCAUGUUGAAAAGGUGAUUGGUAGGCCUCCCCUAUUUGUGUCACGCAUAGAGAAUCUUCCACCCUCGAAAUUGAAUUCGUUGGAUCAUG